RNAcentral lists this ribosomal RNA (253 nucleotides) under uncultured bacterium. Its description in RNAcentral is "partial 16S ribosomal RNA". It matches the Rfam family "Bacterial small subunit ribosomal RNA", at positions 524 to 776 of the family's 1533-position model. The record is from RNAcentral.
UACAGGGGGUGCAAACGUUGCUCGGAAUUAUUGGGCGUAAAGCGCGCGUAGGCGGCUACCUAAGUCGGAUGUGAAAGCCCCUGGCUUAACUGGGGAAGUGCACCCGAAACUGGGUAGCUAGAGUGCAAAAGAGGGUCGCGGAAUUCCCGGUGUAGAGGUGAAAUUCGUAGAUAUCGGGAGGAACACCGGUGGCGAAGGCGGCGACCUGGGUAGAUACUGACGCUGAGGUGCGAAAGCGUGGGGAGCAAACAGG